ACUAUAUUGGGUUAUUAAAAGCCUGACCUCUUUUAGCAAUUUUUUAUCCCAUUAUUAAAUAGUUCAUAUAAAAUAUAGUAAGCCUUGACUUUUGAAGCCUUAGCUUCUCAAUUUCAGAUUCACAAUCAACCUGUGGGUGCUUGAUAUCAUUCAAAUGAUUUCAAAGCUACUGCCUCAUCUGAUCAACACCUGGAUUCCUAACCAUGUCUUCUGAUUCCAGUCUAGUAUGCAUCCCACCGAAACACAACCUCCUAUCAUUGCCUUGUCAUCAAGUCUUUGAGGGAUUGUGGAUCAGGGAUGGAAGGAGCGAAGGAGUGACAGACUCGUUGGUAAUACAGAAUGGGCCUACCAUGGAUAUCAUCUGAGGUGACACAAAACAUAUAUAAGGAUAACUAUCAACAGUACGGAACAGUGCUAAACAAAUACCAGAGGAAAAAUGUUCUAGACCAGAAGAGGGAAAAGUCCCAGUGGCCGAACUGGUCCAGAAAGGCUUCAGAGGAAGAAAAACUUGAAGUGGGCCUUGUGUAUCAUAUAAAUUAAAUCUUUCUCACAAAAGUUCUUCAGUAGAAAAAGUUUUUUCAGAACCGUUCUGAUUAUGUUGAUUUUCCUGAAGCAGGUGAGAGAGGAGCAAGGAGAUAGGAAGCACAUGCCCCAUCAUUUCCACUCAGUUCUCAAAAAAGUGAGUAACAUUGCAAACUUAGCUUUUCCUGGUCAUGUCAGUCCUUCCUCAAAACGAGAUUAGUACACGGAAAUGAGAGUUGGAUUGCAAGUCACAAUUUUAAAAAUCUCACUUCUUCAUUUUACUCCUUUCCAAUUGAAAAGUUUCCAUCAUCUCAGGGAAGCUUUUCUCCUUGACAGCUUUCACAGACACUGUCUCUGAAUGGGUUGGCCAGAAUCAAGAGAGGAAUCUUAAGUUUCCAUUCCUGUCCUACACCUACAAAGUGGUUUUACUUUGUAAAUGCUCUUCAAGCUGCAGCAAUUAAAAGAGGGAAUGCCAUCUUGAAGGAGUCAUUUGUCCAGACUCUCAGGAUCAUACUGUCCAUCUGUUACCUGAAUGGCCUCUUUGGCACAGCUUAGCUCACCCCUGAAUGCCUCCCAGGAGAGGAACUCUCUACCAAUGUCAUCUUGAUGCAACUCUGUCAGGAAGUUCUUAUGCUGAGAUGGAAAAACUCUCCUUUCUUCAACCGGCUGGUUCUACUGCUAGCCCCAGAACCCUACAGACAAGACAGAUUCAUCUCACAGGAGUUAAACUAGGCACGCCAGAAGAAUCACCCCUCUUACAUUAGCCUGGAGUCAGCAUAUUGAGGUGGCAUAGGGAAGGGCAGUAAAUAAAGUCUUGUUGUAGGGUCA
RNAcentral lists this long non-coding RNA (1350 nucleotides) under Felis catus (domestic cat). RNAcentral describes it as "lncRNA (ENSFCAG00000048972.1)". Lineage: Eukaryota; Metazoa; Chordata; Mammalia; Carnivora; Felidae. The record is from RNAcentral.